This is a non-coding RNA of Dipodomys ordii (Ord's kangaroo rat), 65 nucleotides long. NCBI's taxonomy places the organism in Eukaryota, Metazoa, Chordata, Mammalia, Rodentia, Heteromyidae. The record is from Rfam.
GGUGGCUCAGUGGUAGAGUGCUUGCCUUUCAUGCAUGAGACCCUGGGUUCAAUUCCUCAGCACCA